Molecule: ribosomal RNA, 394 nt
Filed under: uncultured bacterium
Lineage: Bacteria
Description: partial 16S ribosomal RNA
Rfam family: Bacterial small subunit ribosomal RNA
Source: RNAcentral
AUACGUAGGGAGCGAGCGUUGUCCGGAAUUACUGGGCGUAAAGGGCGCGUAGGCGGCGCUUCAAGUCGUCUGUCAAAUGGGAGGGCUUAACCCUUUUUCGCAGACGAAACUGGAGAGCUUGAGAAGCAGAGAGGCAAACAGAAUUCCUGGUGUAGCGGUGAAAUGCGUAGAUAUCAGGAAGAAUACCAGUGGCGAAGGCGGUUUGCUGGCUGCAUACUGACGCUGAAGCGCGAAAGCCAGGGGAGCAAACGGGAUUAGAUACCCCGGUAGUCCUGGCAGUAAACGAUGUAUGCUGGGUGUGGGAGUAGCGAUACCUCCGUGCCGAAGUUAACGCGAUAAGCAUACCGCCUGGGGAGUACGAUCGCAAGAUUGAAACUUAAAGGAAUUGGCGGGG